RNAcentral lists this long non-coding RNA (3833 nucleotides) under Glycine max (soybean). RNAcentral's name for it is "long non-coding RNA (GMAX_LNC002233)". The record is from RNAcentral. Lineage: Eukaryota; Viridiplantae; Streptophyta; Magnoliopsida; Fabales; Fabaceae.
GGAAAUCUGGUCAGAAGCUUUGUUUCAGUAGCUCUCUACAUCAAUUAAGCCACUAUAUAAAAAUUUCACGAGAUUAUAAUAGAAAAUAUUUCAGUGUCAACUUUACAAUUUUUUCUCAUAGAAGUAGAAGCAUGUAUACAUGAUAAAGAUUGCAGCCCAAACAGAGAAUUCAGAACAUCACAAAGACAAUAACUAAUGACUAACAAGUCGAAACUAUUGAAGACUUAAUGUACCCACAAAACUAUAUAGACAUAUUGGCAAAGGAAAAGCAUAACAGAGACAACACAACUGCCCUAUUAGGUCUACAAUUACAUGAAAUGAAGCAACAUUCUAUACACCUAUCAUGUCCCAAAUUGGAAAGCUAUGCCAAGAAACAUAGAAGAAUACUAUCUGAAUAUUUGGAAAGCCAUUUCGGUUGUGUGGGCAAAUCAGAUGGUUGGUGUAGGGAUGCAGCUCAAUUUCUUAAUUGUAGCCAACUGGAAAUUCCUUUCUCUUAUCUUGGAAUUCCAGUAGGGGUGAGUUCUAAAAGCUGGGUUGUGUGGCAGCCUAUUAUCAGGAAGUUUGAGGCCAAGCUUGCAAAAUGGAAGCAAAGAUAUCUCUCUAUGGGUGGAAGAAUAACCCUCAUUAAUUCAGUUUUAACAGCAUUACCCAUUUACUUGCUGUCUUUUUUUAGAAUCCCUAAAAAAGUGGUGCAAAAGAUAGUUACUAUUCAGAGAAAUUUUCUAUAGGGAGGUGAUUUUGAGGCCAACAAGAUCCCUUGGGUGAAAUGGGACACAAUUUGUCUUCCUAAGAACAAAGGGGGGUUAGGGAUUAAAGACUUGAUCAAAUUUAAUGAGGCUUUGCUUGGCAAGUGGGGUUGGGAGUUGGCUAAUAAUUAGAACCAGCUUUGGGCAAGAAUUUUAUUGUCUAAAUAUGGCGGUUGGAAUGAAUAGUCUCUGGUAGAAACAAUAGUGAUUUCUCUCAUUGAUGGAAAGAUCUAAAGAUUGUAUUUCAGUAGUAGGACAACAAUAGCAUCAUCAAUAAUUUGAGAUGGAGGAUGGGUUGUGGAGUCAAAAUCAGGUUUUGGAAGGACAAGUGGAUGGGUGAUGAUUUAACUCUCCAAGACAAAUAUUCUACUCUGUAUCAAAUGAGUAGACAGUAGAAUUCUACAAUCAACUUAAUGGGUGACUUUGUUGAGGAUAAAUGGGAAUGGAAGCUAAACUGGAGGAGAAACUUUUUUGUCCACGAAAUUGACAUGGUAGUAGCAUUCUUAGCUGAGAUUGAGAAUGUUCACAUCCAACAUUCCAGCAUGGAUAUUCUAUCAUGGAGGGCUGGUCCUAGUGGUAUUUAUUCCACAAAGUCAGCUUAUAAACUCUUGAAGGAAGCUGACAGUGGUGCUAUUGAGGAUAGUGCAUCAAAGAUCAUUUGGAAUCUGAAAAUUCCUCUAAGAGCAAUUGCUUUCUCAUGGAGAUCAUUCAAAAACAGAUUACCUACUAGGGCUAACCUGAGAAGGAGACGGGUGGAUAUGCCUUCCUAUAAUUAUCCUUUAUGUGAAUCUGAAGAGGAAAUUGCCAGCCAUGUUAUGUUCACUUGCACCAAAACUAGGAUUCUAUGGUGGGAGGCUUUGAGAUGGGUUAAUAGAGUGGGCCCUUUUCCCAUAGAGCCAAAGAAUCACUUCCUGCAAUUCUCUCACUGGAAUAGGAAAAGCAACACAAAUAAGAGAUGAGAUGUUUUAUGGAAAGCCUUGUCCAUGACUAUUUGGAAACAUAGAAAUAGCUUCGUUUUCAAUAACCAGAUUUUCAACCCUGAAAAAGUCAUGGAUGAAGCUUUAUUCCAUACUUGGUCCUGGUUAAAAUGUAUGGAGAAAUGCUUUCAAACUCAUUUCAACCUUUGGUCAACUAACUUGAAUGAUGUAAGCUCCACUGGAGCUUGUAGGCCUAGGAUCUUCUUCAUCAAUGGAUUCCUAUGCUUCUUGGAAGAUCAAUGGUAGCGGAAUGGAGAAGGAAGAGAGAGAGAGGAGACGCCACUUCAAGGAGAAGAUGAGUCUAGAAGAAGCUCACCACCAUAGGAGGCCAUGGAUAAGAGCUUGGAGGAAGAAGGAGAUGAAUGAAGGGAGAGGGAGAGAAGAGCACGAAAUUUUGUGCUCUAAGAGAGAUCUGAACUUUGAAGUUUAAUUUUGAAAUGAUCAAAGUUGAAAAAAAUAUACACACAUGACCUCUAUUUAUAGCCUAAGUGUCACACAAAAUUGGAGGGAAAUUUGAAUUUCAAUUCAAAUUUCACUUGAAUUUGAAAUUGAAUUUGUGGAGCAAAACUUUGGAGCCAAAAUUUCACUAAUUAUGAUUAGUGAAUUUUAGUUAUGGUUUAGCCCACUAAUCCAAGAUCAAUUCCAAGAUUUUCUACUAAGUGUGCUUAGGUGGCACGAGACAUGUAAAGCAUGAAGGACAUGCACAAAGUGUGACUAUAUGAUGUGGCAAUGGGGUGUAGUAAAUAAAUGCUCACCUCCCCCUCUAAAAUUUAAUUGGAUUGGGCUUCUACCAAUUCAAUUAAAUUUUAUUUCCCAACACACACAUCAAAUAUUCACUUAGUGCAUGUGAAAUUACAAAACUACCCCUAAUACAGAAACUAGUCUAGGUGCCCUAAAAUACAAGGGCUGAAAAAUCCUAUAUUUCUAGGGUACCCUACCUACAUUAUAGAUCCCUGGCCCAAAAUUAAUGAAACCUUAAUCUAAUCAGUUUUCUUAAAAACCGAUGUUAACAGAUACACAUUAUUUACAAUUAUGCCACCGCAUUUACAUUAACAUCGGUUUUGUCAAAAACCGAUGUUAAUCCGCCGAUGUUAAAUCUGGUUUUUCUAGUAGUGAAUGAUCGGUUAAAACUUACUUUACAAAAGAAAAGAGAUUACUGAUGAUAGAUGGAGAAGAUGAAUGUGCACAAAAACAAUACCCCUAAGGGUGCAUAGAUCACAUUCAAAUAUCAAAAACAAAACUAACUGACGGUCACACGAAGAACACCAACCAAGGAACGAUGUAGGGUUCAAUCAUGGUCGCGAUUUGGUAGCGCCUCAACUUCGUUUCCUCUUCUUUCUUCUUUUUUUCUCUCAAUUCUCUCAAUAUCCUUCAAUGAUGAACCUUGGAACCUCUUACUCAGCCUCGUUCAUGCCUAUUUAUGGCAAAAAAAGGCACUUGGUGGACCUGCAGCUCGCCCAGGCGAGCUGAGACUCAGCCAUGAAGCAACUGGCUCGCCCAGGCAAGCUGGUUACUUUACAUGGAAGUCUUUUGGUGGCCCAAGCGAGCCAGAGGCUAGCCUGGGCAAGCUAUGGUUCAGGAAGCUCAAUGAAAAGACCCUUUUGCCCCCUUCUUUUGGUAUUUUUUGCAUUCUUGAUCAAUACACUGAAUGAUCAUCUGUUUCGCACUGUAACUGGCUUUCAACACCAUAAGUCAACUAGCAAGGAUCAAAAGAUCAACGAACGAUAGUUCCCAGAUGAAAUUAGGGUAUGACAUACAUAAAAUUAGAUAAUCAAUAUUCAAAUACAAUGAAUCUCAACUAAAACAAAACCAUAAGGUUCAAUAUUGUGAGGGCUCCUUCCAAGACCUAUGGUCCUAUGAACUCAAAUAAGGUGGAGUGUAUGAGAACAAUCAAGGGACAAUAUAGUUCAUAAAAGGAGUACACCAUAUAAAUGCUAGGCCAUAAGUCACUAACCUUUAGAGAUGUAAGACCUAUGUAGAGAUGCUUGCUUCUUCCAACCAGCAUCAACAAGUAUGUCUACCAUUGGAAUAUAUUCAUCAUACCUAGACAAGUUGUUUUUUUAUCAUCCUCUUGAUGUUUUUUAUCAUACAAAACUACCCCUAAUAACUU